CCAGCAUUCAGUUGGGCACUCUAAGGUGACUGCCGGUGACAAACCGGAGGAAGGUGGGGAUGACGUCAAAUCAUCAUGCCCCUUAUGACCUGGGCUACACACGUGCUACAAUGGACAGAACAAAGGGCAGCGAAACCGCGAGGUUAAGCCAAUCCCACAAAUCUGUUCUCAGUUCGGAUCGCAGUCUGCAACUCGACUGCGUGAAGCUGGAAUCGCUAGUAAUCGCGGAUCAGCAUGCCGCGGUGAAUACGUUCCCGGGCCUUGUACACACCGCCCGUCACACCACGAGAGUUUGUAACACCCGAAGUCGGUGAGGUAACCUUUUAGGAGCCAGCCGCCGAAGGUGGGACAGAUGAUUGGGGUGAAGUCGUAACAAGGUAGCCGUAUCGGAAGGUGCGGCUGGAUCACCUCCUUU
Molecule: ribosomal RNA, 415 nt
Filed under: Bacillus sp. RHFS10
Lineage: Bacteria; Bacillati; Bacillota; Bacilli; Caryophanales; Bacillaceae
Description: bacterial SSU rRNA
Rfam family: Bacterial small subunit ribosomal RNA
Source: RNAcentral